Molecule: ribosomal RNA, 253 nt
Filed under: uncultured bacterium
Lineage: Bacteria
Description: partial 16S ribosomal RNA
Rfam family: Bacterial small subunit ribosomal RNA
Source: RNAcentral
UACGGAGGGUGCAAGCGUUAAUCGGAAUCACUGGGCGUAAAGCGCGCGUAGGCCGCCUUUUAAGUCGGACGUGAAAGCCCUCGGCUCAACCGAGGAACUGCGUUCGAAACUGGGAGGCUUGAGUCCUGGAGAGGGUGGCGGAAUUCCGGGUGUAGGAGUGAAAUCCGUAGAUAUCCGGAGGAACACCGGUGGCGAAGGCGGCCACCUGGACAGGUACUGACGCUGAGGCGCGAAAGCGUGGGGAGCAAACAGG